Molecule: long non-coding RNA, 1846 nt
Organism: Bombyx mori (domestic silkworm)
Lineage: Eukaryota; Metazoa; Arthropoda; Insecta; Lepidoptera; Bombycidae
Exons: 2
Source: RefSeq, a predicted model, not a curated record
UUAUUUAAAAAAAAAUAUUAAAAAUAUAUCUAAAAGUUAGCCCCUCGAUUGCAAUUUUUAAUAUUUUUUCGUCCUUAAUUACUCGUAAAUAUUCAUUUUCGAUUGUUCUUAUAUAAAAUACGUUUGUUCUCUUUCGAAAUUACUCAUUUUUUGUUUAAUUAAUUGUAUUAGUUGAAUAAAUGUAUACAAAAUAUGUGUACUGCGCAUGCCAUAAGUGUAUAAUCUAUGGCGCAUGCGUCAACUAUAAUGCCUAAACUUUCUACGCGGUUUUAUGAAAAAAAAACAAUUAUAAAUCCUGAAGGAUGAAUUAAUUGGUAUACAGUUUAAUUAAAAAAAUUAAAAACAAAAUAAAUAAAAUAAUGUGCAUUCGCGUAAAGUUAGACCAAAUACAUUUUUUCCAUCCUCCUAUAUACCUAUCGCUAUGACGGUAUAAAAAAGAUAGGUUAAGAGUUUAAGAGUUCACAUAGGUAAUAUAAACAAAUAAGUAAAUAUGUUCAUUAUUUAUCUUUCAAGAGAUAAUGUAGGUAUACAUUAUAAUAACAUUUUGACACAGUCGAAAUUAUAUUCCUAACAUUAGUAAAAUAACAUUUUAAUAUUUUUUUUAUAGGUUAUGUAUUGAAAUUGUUGGAAAAUUAUUUCAUGUUUUAGCUGGAAAACUACAUGGAGAAUUAUAUGCAAUACAAGAUAAUGAGCUCCAUCAAAUGAAUUCGAAUGAAACCAAACUGUUUACCAUCCAAAUUCGAUUGUCGGGCAGAUAGAAAACGAAAAUUCACUCAUAGUGAACCUCGGCCUGCAUUUGUGAAACGGCAAAGACUCACUAUUAUCAAGGAAAUUGAAGAGACGACUAAAAAUGAGAUGUGUCGUAUUAUUAUACCUUUGCCAUCUUGUAGUCAAGAUGUCCAGCCACUUGAAAAUAGGUGUAGUAAUGACAAAGCUAUCCAAGUAGCUCCAGCACAGGAACACAAAGGCAAGGCAAGUGUGUAUUGCCACAUCACCCCUUAAUAUAUCUGAAGCAAGUAUAAGUAAACAAUCAGAACCAGCAAAAAAAAAAACUGUUGUUCCUGAGGACAAAUUUGACAGUGAUGAGUCAAAUGCACCAGCAACAGAAGGAUCAACUGUUGACUAUGAGUUAUCUCUCUAUAUCUCCACUCCAUCAAAGACUUGUGCACUUCAGACUAUAGCUCUCAAGAAGACUAAAAAGUUGAAAAAAUGAAUGUGUUAACAACUUUAUCUAAAGUGAAAAAUAAACAACGUUUAUAUAUUGGUCUUCCACAAGAAUUAUGUUUCAUAAUAGGCUUGAUUGAGAAACAUACAAAUGUUUCUGAACAAAAUAUUAUAUUAUGUCUGAUGAGAAUAACAUUAAAUAGAACAUUCUCUCAAUUGGCUGAUGAUUUCGAUUUAUCUGUAAGUCAAGCAAGCAAUAUAUUUUUCAACAAACUCCCAGAAAUUGCAAAUGUAAUAUCACCCCUUGUUAGACUAUAAAAAAAACAAUACAAUAAAUAUAUAUGCAGGAAGGAUAAUUGAUGUCAACUUGGUGGAAAAUAGAAAGUUUUUAGAUAGUUUGCCACCUACAAAACUCUUUAAUUAAAUAAGUAAUCCUUACUUAUAAAUAGGAAGUUUUGUAAGUAUUUUCACUCUUCAUUCAAAAACUACUGAACAGAUUUUAAUAAGACUUUUAUGCUGGUCUUCUAUGGCUAGCAACUCAUUAUUAUUUUGAUUCUGUUUUUCACAAAUGUGCUAAAUAUGGGCUUAUAUAAUAUAUGAAAAGGAAUAAAUAUUAAUGUUAUGUAACCUUUGUACCUGUAUGUUAAGAAUAAUUUUUAAUAAAACAUAAUUUAAAUUGAAA